This 253-nucleotide ribosomal RNA is filed under the name uncultured bacterium. Its description in RNAcentral is "partial 16S ribosomal RNA". It matches the Rfam family "Bacterial small subunit ribosomal RNA", at positions 524 to 776 of the family's 1533-position model. The record is from RNAcentral.
UACGAAGGGGGCUAGCGUUGUUCGGAAUUACUGGGCGUAAAGCGCACGUAGGCGGAUAUUUAAGUCAGGGGUGAAAUCCCAGAGCUCAACUCUGGAACUGCCUUUGAUACUGGGUAUCUCGAGUAUGGAAGAGGUGAGUGGAAUUCCGAGUGUAGAGGUGAAAUUCGUAGAUAUUCGGAGGAACACCAGUGGCGAAGGCGACUCACUGGACAGGUAUUGACGCUGAGGUGCGAAAGCGUGGGGAGCAAACAGG